GCGCCUUCGCGGCGGGCGAUGUUAGUGGGCUUGGGCGUUGGGUGAAGUAUCCAGGUUGGGCGCUUCCAGCGCUUUCUGUGGCGGGGGAAUGAAGGCCUAGGUCAGGGAAUAGGAAGGUGUAUCGCCGCCAGAGUGCGGAACACCCUCGCCUUGAGGGUUCCCACAGUGACUUGCAAAAGUCUAGUGAGACCCGAGAAUGCUGAGGCGGGACACGAAGCAUGUGGUUCUUGUGGUUGCGACGCUCGUGCCGCCAUCUUGGGUGCUGGCGGCGGAAACCGGUACCCCAACUUCCCCUCGGUGCGAACCUGGAGAAGCCACCCCAGCUGUGAGGGACGGUUGCGCCUCAUGGCCCAGGCAAGGGUACCUUCGCUGGAGCAGUACCGCGGACGGAUAUCAUGAGGGUGGUGGGACGUUGGCGGAACGUUGGCGGAACGUUGGCGGUGUGAGAGGUGUGGGGGAAUCAUUGGGUUGGCGUUUGCAAUGCGUUCCUCCCAGCUAUAGGACAAAGAGGUGUCAACUCAACUGUGUCUUCUUAGAAGAGCCCAUUAUUUAUAGGCUGGACUGGAA
This 567-nucleotide long non-coding RNA is filed under the name Homo sapiens (human). RNAcentral describes it as "non-protein coding lnc-COPZ2-1:2". The record is from RNAcentral. Lineage: Eukaryota; Metazoa; Chordata; Mammalia; Primates; Hominidae.